AUUGAACGCUGGCGGCAUGCCUUACACAUGCAAGUCGAACGGCAGCACGGGUGCUUGCACCUGGUAGCGAGUGGCGAACGGGUGAGUAAUACAUCGGAACAUGUCCUGUAGUGGGGGAUAGCCCGGCGAAAGCCGGAUUAAUACCGCAUACGAUCUACGGAUGAAAGCGGGGGACCUUCGGGCCUCGCGCUAUAGGGUUGGCCGAUAGCUGAUUAGCUAGUUGGUGGGGUAAAGGCCUACCAAGGCGACGAUCAGUAGCUGGUCUGAGAGGACGACCAGCCACACUGGGACUGAGACACGGCCCAGACUCCUACGGGAGGCAGCAGUGGGGAAUUUUGGACAAUGGGCGAAAGCCUGAUCCAGCAAUGCCGCGUGUGUGAAGAAGGCCUUCGGGUUGUAAAGCACUUUUGUCCGGAAAGAAAUCCUUGGCUCUAAUACAGUCGGGGGAUGACGGUACCGGAAGAAUAAGCACCGGCUAACUACGUG
This 486-nucleotide ribosomal RNA is filed under the name uncultured bacterium. RNAcentral's name for it is "partial 16S ribosomal RNA". It matches the Rfam family "Bacterial small subunit ribosomal RNA", at positions 30 to 507 of the family's 1533-position model. The record is from RNAcentral.